Brassica napus (rape) is the source of this 2131-nucleotide long non-coding RNA. RefSeq lists it as uncharacterized. The transcript is spliced from 10 exons. The record is from RefSeq and is a predicted model, not a curated record. Lineage: Eukaryota; Viridiplantae; Streptophyta; Magnoliopsida; Brassicales; Brassicaceae.
AUAAUCUUAAAAAUGAAGAAAUGUUAAAGGAAAGAGAACAUUACAAUAAUAAAAAUAUCUAAGCAAAAUCGACAAAAUUUAAGAGUCCUGAAUUGGGAAAUAAUGAAAUAAAUUAGUCCUUAGAAGCAAAAUAAAAUAAAAAUAAAAAUCGAGAGUCAAGAACAGCUGUGUUAUUCUGUUUUGUGAUAUUUUAGGAAUAUUAAAGAUAUUAACAAGUUGGGAGGAGAAAAACAAGUCAGAAUGACGUGUAUGAUUAUCUCCAUUUGCUGUGUUUUGACCAACCUUUGAGUCAGCAUCUACUCAGAUUUCAUAUCCUUUUUUGUAUUUUUCUAUGAUUACUCUUUCUAUUUUAAACCUGAUUUUGUUUUUAUAUUAUUCGAUAAAAAUGAUCUAGACUUGAACUUAAAGCAUCUAUAUACUAUAUUAAAAGGGAUAUAUGAGCUCCUCUAAGCUAUGCCACGUUUUUUAAUAAAUUUAACCAAUCAGAGAACAUUGUUUUGCCAUGUCAUACAAUUUUUUUACGACUAGAUUUCAAGCAGGCCAUUUCUAUGGGCUGAUAAAAUUCUUCACUGGCCCACCUAAAACACACAUUUCCAAAGGUGAAUUUUUGUAUCCCUUUCCAACCGUGCUCUUCCUAAACCUUGAUAAUGGUGAUGAUCGAUCCUAAUUUUGUCGCUUGCGCUCCUGCAAACCACCGUUUCUUCUCUGAAUUAAUCACGAGCGUGGCUCGAUCAUUUACUUAUGUUCUUGAUCCAUUCUUAAUUAUUCGUUUCACCUCCUACCGUACCUUUUCCUAAUUCAGUUCAACCCAUAAAUCCUAAAUAGCCUAAUUCAUAAAGUCUCGCUUCACUCCUCCAUCUUCGUCUUCUUCAUUGUUUCCUUAUGUUUUCUAUACAUUUUGAAAAACCCAAUUCAUAGCCGCCCAUUUCAGAGAGCCUCUUUGUCCUCUUCUUCGUCUAUACGUAAAUUCAUCAGCUAGAUAUAUUGAAAAAUGGCGGAUGGUGAAGAUAUUCAGCCCUUCGUUUGCGAUAACGGGACCGGAAUGGUCUAAGCUUGCACCAUUUGACCCAACCAAUAAGAAGAAGAAAAAAGUUGUCAUUUUGGAACCUAUCGAGGAUUCUACUGAGUCACAUGCGGAGAAAUCUGAUUCAUUGCCUGCUAACUGGGGCUUUGAGAAUUCACUUUCUACAGUGAAGAAAAGUAGAAGCCAGUGCCUGCAGCUAAAUGCUUUUUAAACUGAUGUGUUGAUGAUUGUGUGCCUCACAUUGUUUUUGUUUCUAUGGAUAGGUUGAAUCACAGCUCAUUGAAUGAAAAACAGUAUCACUGGUGCUGAAGAUUUGGAAGUGGGAUCAGUGGGCUUAUGCUACUGUCUAUAUACUACAGAUUCCAACGACAUCAUAUCUUCACAGCCAAAAAGGGGAAGAUGAACAUGGUGACUUGAAGCCCGCCUUUAUCACUGAUGGUGGAAACUAAAUUCUAGAAGGUGCUCGCAGGAGUGAUUUACAGAAUCAAGAUGCUACUGUGAAUUCUGCUGACCCAAAAGAGGCAAGAGUAUUAAAGAGAUUCACUUCGUCCGAUUCAAUCCCAUCGACAUAUAUUGAUGGUAAUGGAGACUGGCACCGAGUAAGCAAAGGGAGCUCCAGAGCAGAUUCUCGAUCUUUGCAACACAAGGAAGAAAGACCACUGCAAUUGAUAAGUGUACUCUGCGUGGACUGAGGGUCCUUAGCUGUUGCAAGACGGACUGUACCAGAGAAAACAAAAAAAAAAUCUCUGGUGGUUCAUGGGAAUUCGUUGGUGGAUUGCCUUUGUUUGAUCCUCCGCAUACACCAUUAGAAGAGCUUCAGACCUCGGUGUCAACAUCAAUGAUCACUGGUUAUCAACUUGCUAUUGCCAAGCUCGGUAUGGGAUCAAACAUGUAUCCAUAGCACCAGCUUCUCUACUUGGAUAAGAAAUCCAUCCGUGGGAGUUUAGGCAACAACCAAGUGACGUUUUUCUAAUCUCUUGAUUCAAAACUCUGAUCCAUGACAUUCAGCAAGAAUACAGAGAAGUUGUAGAGAGGCGUGUGUUUACAGGUGUUGUGUUACUUCUUGACAAUGGUAGUUACUCUCAACUAGCAGAUGAAAAGGCAAGG